Molecule: transfer RNA, 67 nt
Filed under: Emberiza yessoensis yessoensis
Lineage: Eukaryota; Metazoa; Chordata; Aves; Passeriformes; Fringillidae
Description: Schoeniclus yessoensis yessoensis tRNA-Cys
Source: RNAcentral
GGCUCUGUGGUGAAGUUCAUAGUGAGUUGCAAGCUCAUUGAUGUGCAUUGAUUAUGUACCAGAGCCU